RNAcentral lists this ribosomal RNA (442 nucleotides) under uncultured bacterium. Its description in RNAcentral is "partial 16S ribosomal RNA". It matches the Rfam family "Bacterial small subunit ribosomal RNA", at positions 338 to 795 of the family's 1533-position model. The record is from RNAcentral.
CCUACGGGAGGCAGCAGUGGGGAAUAUUGGGCAAUGGGCGCAAGCCUGACCCAGCAACGCCGCGUGAAGGAAGAAGGCUUUCGGGUUGUAAACUUCUUUUGUCAGGGAAGAGUAGAAGACGGUACCUGACGAAUAAGCCACGGCUAACUACGUGCCAGCAGACGCGGUAAUACGUAGGUGGCAAGCGUUGUCCGGAUUUACUGGGGGUAAAGGGCGUGUAGCCGGGUUGAAAAGUCAGAUGUGAAAUCCUGGGGCUUAACCGCAGAACUGCAUUUGAAACUGGCGAUCUUGAGUACUGGAGAGGUAGAUGGAAUUCCAGGUGUAGCGGUGAAAUGCGUAGAUAUUAGGAGGAACACCAGUGGCGAAGGCGGCCUGCUGGACAGCAACUGACGGUGAGGCGCGAAAGCGUGGGGAGCAAACAGGAUUAGAUACCCGGGUAGUC